UAGGGAAUCUUCGGCAAUGGACGAAAGUCUGACCGAGCAACGCCGCGUGAGUGAAGAAGGUUUUCGGAUCGUAAAACUCUGUUGUUAGAGAAGAACAAGGACGUUAGUAACUGAACGUCCCCUGACGGUAUCUAACCAGAAAGCCACGGCUAACUACGUGCCAGCAGCCGCGGUAAUACGUAGGUGGCAAGCGUUGUUCGGAUUUAUUGGGCGUAAAGCGAGCGCAGGCGGUUUCUUAAGUCUGAUGUGAAAGCCCCCGGCUCAACCGGGGAGGGUCAGUGGAAACUGGGAGACUUGAGGGCAGAAGAGGGGGGUGGAAUUCCAUGUGUAGCGAUGAAAUGCGUAGAUAUAUGGAGGAACACCAGUGGCGAAGGCGGCUCUCUGGUCUGUAACUGACGCUGAGGCUAGAAAGCGUGGGGAGCAAACAGG
Molecule: ribosomal RNA, 429 nt
Filed under: Gemmatimonadota bacterium
Lineage: Bacteria; Pseudomonadati; Gemmatimonadota
Description: Gemmatimonadetes bacterium partial 16S ribosomal RNA
Rfam family: Bacterial small subunit ribosomal RNA
Source: RNAcentral